This 443-nucleotide ribosomal RNA is filed under the name uncultured bacterium. RNAcentral's name for it is "partial 16S ribosomal RNA". It matches the Rfam family "Bacterial small subunit ribosomal RNA", at positions 338 to 795 of the family's 1533-position model. The record is from RNAcentral.
CCUACGGGAGGCAGCAGUGGGGAAUAUUGGGCAAUGGGCGAAAGCCUGACCCAGCAACGCCGCGUGAAGGAAGAAGGCUUUCGGGUUGUAAAAUUCUUUUCUGAGGGACGUAGAAAGUGACGGUAACUCAGGAAUAAGCCACGGCUAACUACGUGCCAGCAGCCGCGGUAAUCCGUAGGUGGCAAGCGUUAUCCGGAUUUAUUGGGUGCAAAGGGCGUGUAGGCGGGAAAGCAAGUCAGAUGUGAAAACUCAGGGCUCAACCCUGAGCCUGCAUUUGAAACUGUGUUUCUUGAGUGCUGGGGAGGCAAUCGGAAUGCCGGGUGUAGCGGUGAAAUGCUUAGAUAUACGGAGGAACACCAGUGGCGAAGGCGGAUUGCUGGACAGUAACUGACGCUGAGGCGCGAAAGUGUGGGGAGCAAACAGGAUUAGAUACCCCUGUAGUC